Long non-coding RNA from Syngnathoides biaculeatus (alligator pipefish), 593 nucleotides. RefSeq lists it as uncharacterized. Lineage: Eukaryota; Metazoa; Chordata; Actinopteri; Syngnathiformes; Syngnathidae. The record is from RefSeq and is a predicted model, not a curated record. The transcript is spliced from 3 exons.
GGCAAGACUGGACACUGGACAGCCAUUCAGAGAUGGAAGAGUCUGCCAACGCAUUCGUGCCUGAUGUUGCCAUUGAACGUUUUGACAACUUUUUGCAUAAAGACAAGAUCAUCGAAGGAAUAAAAGACAUGCUAUUGUUGGCGAGAGCUGUUCACCAUCGUACCAUCAUGAAAUCAAAUUGAAUUACGUUCAAGAUGAACGGAUUGAAGUCUCAACGCCUGCAUCAAGCUUCAUCUAACGACGUAUUAAAGAUUAUAAGGCCAUCAGCAAAACCAGGCAGAACAAGAAGUCACAUUCAUGGGGACAAACGCGGAACGGGAAGGCGGAUCUCAAGUCGAUCGGGCAAUAUGUCGGCUUCCCACAUGAUACCGGAGACCAAACAGACGCCGGCGGCUGCCGGGGACCAGAAUCCCACACAGUCUGGGACUCAAGAUGAAUGACCUUAUCGUGAAACUGCGUCUGGAAACGUGGGCCUCGGCUCUGUUGUUGCACGGGCAAAACGCGGCCAUUGUCUCGGCCUUCUCCUGUUCUUCUCCCCGCCACCCUGCGGUCCAGCUCGGAUUUCUUUUCAAGGAUAUUUUAUCGUCCGAGUA